CGCGUUCUCGCAGCAUCUCGCGGCGGCGUGCUUCCGUUUACGGAGGGGAAGGAAGCUCUCGUGGCCUCUCGCCCGGGCGCACCGCCUGACGCACGGCUUUUCCCUCCUCGUCUUCGUCUGCGCUUCGCAGCUGCUGCACUGACGGUGCGAAUAUUUCUCUGUGAGUUUGCUUUUUAUCGGCUACCAUUUGCUGAGAGAGUGAACCCUUGCCAAGGGCAGAGCUUGUUCUGGGGCGUGUCAGCAAGGCGCCUCGCGACGAGCUUGCGAAGUGGGCGUUGUUCACCGGCUACUUUCCGUCAACGAGUUCAACGCAGCCUGGCGUUCUACAAUUUGUCUACCUUGUCACCGGCACCGUUAUCGACUCUUGUUUUCGAUGCCUUUGGUAGCCUGUACGUGGUAAGUUGAAAGUUGUGACGAUUCAUCGGCUCAUUUCUACGGCGCCGAAGCAGACGACGCGCGGACUUCGUCGAGUUCGUUCACCUCGGUGGUGGUUAUUGCUGCUCUUGUCGGUUUUCUUCUACGCCCUGAAUUCAAGACGUAACUUAGUAGCAAAAGGGAGCUCUCAGCGCGUGCUCAGUUAGCGGACGACGUCAGCUGCCUUGUGCUAUCACCCACAAGUGAAAGUGUGUUCGCGUGUGCGGCAAGCAAAGGCCAAGUUUGUUUAGCAGACCAAGUUUGAGCAGACGACAAUUUUCCUGCGCGUCAAACAAGGUUCUGUGCUGCAGAUACAGAGGUGCGUAGAAGGUGUGUGAAUUGUCUUCUGUGUUGCGACAUUUAAGAUUUGAAAACAACAACCCUGUGGGGCGUGAUCUGCCGUUAUUGCGGUGAUUUGCAUUCGUAGGUUUGAGGUUUGAUUGUGGCAGAGUGUGAAAGAGUUCAAGUGGUGCAAGGCUAUAUUGCUGCUAGAGGAGCAUCGUUGACUUUGCCGGCUUUCGCACGAGGAAACAUCUGAGCUUCGCAUUGUGAAUUUUUUUUUAAGUGUCAUCAAGAACAACUACACUUUUGCGUGUUCCUUCCUGAAUGGUGCUUCGAAAGGUCGGCGGAAUUGUCGGCGUUCUUCUUUGGCGGUGCUGUGCUUGUUAAAGUGGACUACGAGUGCUUCGUGAUUUCUUCAACUUCCCAAGCCACCCAUUGACAGCCAGAGCGAUCGCAUCUAAAACAGGCCAGUCGCAUCCAAAGUCGCCGGCGUCACAGCUAACCGUCCAGACCUACAUUGCCUUCACUCAUGUUGAAUAGAUACGUAAUGACGUUCUGCCGCACAGCAAUGACUGCAGGAACCUUAUAGGAACUUAACCCUCAACCAACUGGACGAAGAUUCAGAGUCACAAACCACUCGGUAAGAAGCGACUUCGGUUUAAUGAUGGGAUUGAGACACCAAGCCAGAAAGAAAAUAAUGCCUUAGAAGACCUCACCAAGCCGAAGAAAGUUGAAAUAAAAACAGCAUUAAAGCUGUCCAGGAUCUCCUACCAGGAAGAAUUCUUCGUAUA
Molecule: long non-coding RNA, 1487 nt
Organism: Dermacentor andersoni
Lineage: Eukaryota; Metazoa; Arthropoda; Arachnida; Ixodida; Ixodidae
Source: RefSeq, a predicted model, not a curated record